CUAGCAGGGAUCGGCGUUGUGCUACAAAUAAAUGCACUCUGUUUUUUAAAGAGUUACCCUGCAAAAGGGAAAAAAAAAUCUGCUGGAGGAAGAUGGCAGUUGUGCUUCAUCUGUUGAAAGUUUCAACAAUCAUCUUCCCCACAUCA
This is a non-coding RNA of Ricinus communis (castor bean), 146 nucleotides long. Lineage: Eukaryota; Viridiplantae; Streptophyta; Magnoliopsida; Malpighiales; Euphorbiaceae. The record is from Rfam.